AAGAGUAUGGCAUAUUAAAGCAGUUUUUAAUGCAUCAAUACAGUGACACCACAGCAGAGUAUUUUGUUUGGAUCUGAAGAAAAGAUACAAGAUGAUGAAUUAAGGUUGGUCUACUUCAGGGGACCACUAACUGAUGAGAAAGAAAGAUGGCCAGUCUACUACAAGAGUGGACACAGCGAGAGUGAGAAAUAGAAACCUAAAAGAAGAGACACCACAGUUUUUCAGUCGCUGUUACAGUAUAUCACUUGCCUAAUGGCACCUCUCUCACUGUUUACAAAAUAACAUCCUGCUUUACUUUGGUGGGCCAGUACUGUAUGAAGAAUCAAAGUGAUGGCAUCCUCUUUGGAUAUACUGAAGUGAUAUGUGAACUGUAAUGGAUCCAGAAGAGCAUAUGUGAUCUAUGACUAACCUCUUGAAACACUUCAUUGCUAUAGGCAUUUGUAUGAAAGGCAGGCAAGCAAAGCUAAAACUUGGGAAAUAUCUGGCUUUUCCAUAUAUAUAGUCUUAAUUUAGUUAUUGAUUUUAAUCUUGCCCACAUGCAAUACUCAGGCAUGUUAUCCGUAAACAGUCUGCAUAUUUGUUUCUUGUUGUUCCAACUAUAUUUUGCUGAUGCUUCUAGUCAGUGAUCUUUUUAUAGUUACAAUGUAUCUAUUGUCAAAAUGGUGAUUUUAUUUCUGGUAGCUGACAAAGGUGUCUGUUGUUAUUCAUUUUGUGAACUUUUGAUUUUAUACGGUUUAUACUACCCAUCCUGCAUUUUUCCUGUUCCAAAGAAGGCAUGAUUUGUGGCACCCUCAUCUAACUUGUCUUCCAUUCUUUCAGUCCAGCAGCAGGUUACUCUUCAGAGUAAGAUGUAUCAUCCCAGUCUUUUGCUACAACCACAUUCCAAGUUACUGGUUCCUGCUAUAUGGAGCAGAGUUACGAUCUCGCCAUGAGCAUUAAGUACGUAAAGAUUCCACUGAUCUUGAAAUGGUGCUUGAAAUGGUUUUUAAAGAAAGGAGUACAUGUUUUGCCAUUGGUUUUUUGGGUGCACAUAAUUCCAACCUUUUGGUUAACAAUUGGUGCAAAGUUUUAUUCAUCAAAGUUGCAUAUCUUUGAAUUGUGUAUAAGUGUUUACAUGGUGUAUUGAGGAGACACUUCUGACAUGUUACUUUGAGAUUGAUCAGUUUAUCAGAUAAGGCCCAGAGGCCGCAUACCAAAGUGUCCUUUGAGGGGAACUGACAUCUGAGUUGGAAUUAAGUGUCUGGUAGCCUGCUUUUUUUUAGCAAAGUCUUGUGUGCCAAAGCAUAGUAAAAUGGGCAAUGCCAUGCUGUCCAACAAAAUGAACUACAGAAAAUGCAGCAACCCAAAUCAUUGUACAGUUCAAAGUAUUUAUGGCAACUUUGUUUUGCCAAAGCUUUACUUUGUUCUAAAAUUUAAAUUUAUGUCUUUGUAAUCUUUCUGUUCAUCUACUAUCAUAUUACUUGCAUUGUCACAAUUGAAAUAAAACUUCUUU
Molecule: long non-coding RNA, 1492 nt
Organism: Polypterus senegalus (gray bichir)
Lineage: Eukaryota; Metazoa; Chordata; Cladistia; Polypteriformes; Polypteridae
Exons: 4
Source: RefSeq, a predicted model, not a curated record